RNAcentral lists this ribosomal RNA (402 nucleotides) under bacterium. RNAcentral's name for it is "partial 16S ribosomal RNA". It matches the Rfam family "Bacterial small subunit ribosomal RNA", at positions 355 to 776 of the family's 1533-position model. The record is from RNAcentral.
UGGGGAAUUUUGCACAAUGGGGGAAACCCUGAUGCAGCGACGCCGCGUGAUUUAGAAGGCCUUCGGGUUGUAAAAAUCUUUUCUAUGUGAAGAAAAUGACAGUACCAUAGGAAUAAGGACCGGCUAAUUACGUGCCAGCAGCCGCGGUAAUACGUAAGGUCCGAGCGUUGUCCGGAAUCAUUGGGCGUAAAGGGUACGUAGGCGGGUAAGCAAGUUAGAAGUGAAAUCCUAUAGCUCAACUAUAGUAAGCUUUUAAAACUGCUCAUCUUGAAGUAUGGAAGGGAAAGUGGAAUUCCUAGUGUAGCGGUGAAAUGCGCAGAUAUUAGGAGGAAUACCGGUGGCGAAGGCGACUUUCUGGCCAUAACCUGACGCUGAGGUACGAAAGCGUGGGUAGCAAACAGG